GGGGAUUUAGCUCAGUGGUAGAGCGUUUGCCUAGCAAGCACAAGGCCCUGGGUUCAGUCCUCA
Mus musculus (house mouse) is the source of this 63-nucleotide non-coding RNA. NCBI's taxonomy places the organism in Eukaryota, Metazoa, Chordata, Mammalia, Rodentia, Muridae. The record is from Rfam.